UUAAAAGACCUAGCAAUAGGUAUGCUUAGGGAAGAGCUUGCGUCACAUUAGUUAGUUGGUGGGGUAAUGGCCUACCAAGACGAUGAUGUGUAGCCGGGCUGAGAGGUCGAACGGCCACAUUGGGACUGAGACACGGCCCAAACUCCUACGGGAGGCAGCAGUAAGGAAUUUUCGGCAAUGGAGGAAACUCUGACCGAGCAAUGCCGCGUGAACGAUGAAGUAUUUUGGUACGUAAAGUUCUUUUAUUAGGGAAGAAAAGAUGGUGGAAAAACCAUUAUGACGGUACCUAAUGAAUAAGCCCCGGCUAACUAUGUGCCAGCAGCCGCGGUAAUACAUAGGGGGCAAGCGUUAUCCGGAAUUAUUGGGCGUAAAGGGUGCGUAGGCGGUUAAAUAAGUUUAUGGUCUAAGUGCACCGCUCAACGUUGUGAUGCUAUAAAAACUGUUUAGCUAGAGUUGGAUAGAGGCAAGUGGAAUUCCGUGUGUAGUGGUAAAAUGCGUAAAUAUACGGAGGAACACCAGAAGCGAAGGCGGCUUGCUGGGUCUUAACUGACGCUGAGGCACGAAAGCGUGGGGAGCAAACAGGAUUAGAUACCCUGGUAGUCCACGCCCUAAACGAUGAGUACUAAACGUUGGAUAAAACCAGUGUUGAAGUUAACACAUUAAGUACUCCGCCUGAGUAGUACGUACGCAAGUAUGAAACUUAAAGGAAUUGACGGGACUCCGCACAAGCGGUGGAUCAUGUUGUUUAAUUCGAAGGUACCCGAAAAACCUCACCAGGUCUUGACAUGCUUUUGCAAAGCUGUAGAAAUACAGUGGAGGUUAUCAGAAGCACAGGUGGUGCAUGGUUGUCGUCAGCUCGUGUCGUGAGAUGUUGGGUUAAGUCCCGCAACGAGCGCAACCCUUGUUGUUAAUUGCCAUCAUUAAGUUGGGGACUUUAGCAAGACUGCCAAUGAUAAAUUGGAGGAAGGUGGGGACGACGUCAAAUCAUCAUGCCCCUUAUGACCUGGGCUACAAACGUGAUACAAUGGCUGUUACAAAGGGUAGCUAAAGCGUAAGCUUCUGGCGAAUCUCAAAAAAACAGUCUCAGUUCGGAUUG
This 1096-nucleotide ribosomal RNA is filed under the name Candidatus Phytoplasma solani. Its description in RNAcentral is "bacterial SSU rRNA". It matches the Rfam family "Bacterial small subunit ribosomal RNA", at positions 201 to 1300 of the family's 1533-position model. Lineage: Bacteria; Bacillati; Mycoplasmatota; Mollicutes; Acholeplasmatales; Acholeplasmataceae. The record is from RNAcentral.